This is a non-coding RNA of Lolium perenne, 3475 nucleotides long. The record is from RefSeq and is a predicted model, not a curated record. NCBI's taxonomy places the organism in Eukaryota, Viridiplantae, Streptophyta, Magnoliopsida, Poales, Poaceae.
AUAUUUCCAGUAUGUUCAUAUUUGACACCUAAAAUAAUACGAAUGGCUCAUUAUAUUAGACCUUGCAGAAACUGCUCAGUUAACACAUCUGUAAAUAAGAAACAGAAAAUUUGUUUGAAAGCAACACCUAUAAUAAAGAAAAAGAUCCCAUGCAGAAAAUUGUUGUCUUAUUUGUAUGAUCAAUUGUUUACUCAAGAAAGACCUAACCAGUCAAUCACAUUGAAGAUAGAUAAAUAGCUUUACUUUUUAUCAUUGUGCAUACUCUCAGUUAUACCUAAAACAAACUGAAUCAAAGUGAAACCAGGCAAUUUAAAACUGUUAAAAUAUAGCCAACCCAAAUCACUUUGCAUAUCUGAAUCUGCAAAGCAGGAGCACUGGCAAUGCAUAAUACCCAAAGUCUAGGUGAGCAACAAUACAAUGAAACAUAGGUAAAAAAAUGCAGUACAAAGGUCUUAUUCUAAAGCUAGAAAGCAAGAAAUGAUCAUAUAAGAAGAAAACAUGAAUGCACGUCACGCCGGGGGGUGGGGAACAUUAGAACACAGUUCAGAACAUCUUAUCAUGCAAACUAUAACACAUGCACAUCUCCCAGUUUACGAAGUGCAGUGUGCAAACGCCUAUACUGAUGUUUGUAUGUAUCUUUACACUGAACAUAAGUUUCUUGUUUCCUACUUGUCUGAACACAGAUAAGUUGACAUUAGGACCUGCUAUUAGAUUGGUGUUUUCAGAAGAAAAAACACAUGUCCUUCAGUUGCCUACUUGUCUGAACAUAGAUAAUUUGACAUUAGGACCUGCAAUUAGAUUGCUAUUUCAGAAGAAAAAAAACAUGUCCUUUGCUGGGGUGCAAAACCUGGAAAGAUUGAGGCGACAUAUACCUCUAUUGAAGAGGCCGCUGCCUGACUAUUGGCUUAAAACUUCAUGGCAUCAAGCAGAUUGAUUUUGCACCACCGAUAUCACUUACAGUGGUGGAAAACUCAAAUGCCGUGAAAAUGGCAGCCGCAAGGUGACAUGUGCCACCUCACCCCUGUAGUCCAAUCAGUGCGAGCAAUGGCGAGGAGCAACCUGCGACAGUGGUUGAGUAUGAUUUUUCCGACAACCUAGAUGGCGGCGUCGUGAACCAAGAAGUUGUGGGGCUCAGGUUGGAGCUACAAGAACAAACAAAGAAGAAUAAGUUAGAAAUUAAAACAUCGCUAAGAAAACCAAAUGAACUAAAAAUUAACAUCACCUGAUGCGGAUGGAAUUCGGAUGGAAGAACAACCGGGAUGAGUACACCUCUCUAACCAGGCGAAGCGGAAAAUAGAGAAGGUGGCGAGGAUGACAAUCUAGGCCGUGGCUAAGCGGCUGAGUGGGAAUCUCAAUCGCUCCAAUGCUGGAGAGGCUAGAGCGGCCGGUCAGAGGACGAAGCAGCCAAGCACCGCUUCUUGAACAAUAUCAUGGGCACUCUGGUCAUCGUCUAGAUUGUUUCCAGGUCUAGAUGGUUUCCAGGCCAUGUUGCCUGAUGAAGAAGGAAGACCAUCCAUGAUGAGAACACAUCACCGAACCAGACAAAGAAAUCUGUGAAGAAAAUAAAAUGAUCAGUUGGAGAAAAUGGUGAAGGCAUGUACUGGUACGAUCAAGAAGGAACACGCCUAAGAAGGAGAACCCGACCUUCCCUUACCUCCGGCCCAACCACCAAUCCUUAUGACGGCAGGCGGCGGCAGAAUUCAUUCUUUUUACUGCAUAAACAAAUCUAACAAAAGAGGAAGAUGGAGAGGUGUGAAAUCGCAGACACACCCAUUUACCAUCCCCGUCGCCUCCUUGCUCUAAAUAAAAAGCUUUUGCCUCUCACAGCCUCACUCUUAUCCCCAUUCACUUCCUCUGUCUCCCCCACCGCCGGCGACCGAAUCUCGGUUCCCUGCCUCCCCGCCGGUGGCCUCGACAACCACAUUCUCCUUACAGUUUCUGCAGGCGACCGGAGACCAGGCAGCCCAGGUGGAAGGUCAGGUGACCAAGCGCUGGGGGCAAACAGAGGUGGAGCCGCGGCAGCGGCCACCGACACCGGCGUUCGAUGCCUCUGCGCCAGACUCCGCUCCUCCAUCCACGAUGUGCUUCCCGCCACCAGUGAGCCCCCUCCCCAUCAGGACAAGGUCGCUCACCCCAACGGCAAGUGUCGCCGUGCAUAAAAAAACCAGCCAUGCGCUCGCCCCACCAUUCUUGUCGAUCUCACCCCUUUGAUUUUCCCGCUCUGAUUCCAUGGUCUAUCGCCGCGAGCACCAAGGAGUUAAUCGAGGCUAGCAAAGGAGGCGCGGGAGAAGGGCUAGGACUGCUGCUUCGCUGACGUACUGCCAAUGCGAGUCGGCGGUAGCUUCCUGCACCGGCAGCCAGAUAAUAUUCCUCUCGGGUGCUUCGUUGCUCACUGAUAAGUGAAGCAGUUGAACUGCCCACGGCGCUGGCCGCAGAAGCCACCGGCUUGCUCGCAGGAUCGGCACGGCCCUCCAGCCGCCGGCGCCCAGGUGAGUUCGAACCCUGCUCUGAGCGCCAGCAGGACGUCGUCGCCUAUGCCCAGCACCGGCAUGGUGACGACCUCCUGGCAGAGCCGGGCCUGCUCGUGCGGAGGUAGCCAACCGUCGGGGAUGUAGAAGGAGAAGGUAACGUUGUGCCGGUCCAACAGACACGGGAUGAGGUGCCCGCGGGAGACCCCUCUGAACGUGAACGUGCAGUUGAGGAGGAAGCUCACGUUUGUGUUCCUCGCCGUGAGCGACAGGGGCGGCGGCGAGCCCGGCAGGAGGUGGAGGCUUCGGCCGGCGACGUCCGGGCACGUGGCGUUUAGGAGGGCGAUGUCGAAGGCGGAUAUUGCCGGUGUACUGCCGUAGCUGAUGCUGGUGAUCCCGUACUCGCCCGACGGCAGGCGGAGCACGGGCGUGCCGUGGCGGCACUCCAACCCGAAGCCAGUGUAGCCGCAAUGCGCGCCCGUGUCGUUGCCGACCCAGAAGGGGUAGCGGACAGCGACGUUCCCGCAGGCAUAGUUGGGGCAGCCUGCCGGCGCAGGGGAGGAAGCCACGCCGGCGAUCGGCAGCAGCAGGAGGAGGAAGGUGAGUGGCGGCAUAGUUGUGUUGGAGUGUUCGGUCACGUGGCCGUGGACAGGGGAGGCACCUCCCAAUUCAACUUGACAAAGCCAGUAUAUAUCGGCCUCGACCACGGCCAAAUGCGUUGCAUUUUCCGUGAGUAACUAACUGGCAAACGCAUUGCUUGUGCAAAUUACCUAACUUCGCAUGCGUUCUGGUGCUGGUUUCGCAAGCACAGCACUACCUAGCUUCGCAUGCGCAACACAUUCUCAGAAUUCAUUUUCCCUACCAAACUAGUAUCAGGUAUAUGUGUAAACGGACUUCAAUUUUUUGUAUAUUGCUUUGAUGUACUGCAGCUACCUAUAUAUCCGGCACAAAUACAAAAGAUGGGACAAAAAGAAAAGAAAAGAAAAGAAAACUGUGUUGCCAGUGUA